RNAcentral lists this unclassified non-coding RNA (540 nucleotides) under Hevea brasiliensis (rubber tree). The record is from RNAcentral. Lineage: Eukaryota; Viridiplantae; Streptophyta; Magnoliopsida; Malpighiales; Euphorbiaceae.
GCAUAUUGACAAAAAAAGGCAAAUUAAGCCGUAAACCAUGCGAUGCACACUUCAUACACACAUGACAGCUCCCCAUUGCAAACUAUCUACCUGAUUCUACCAGGCUUGGGCAAUUUACAAUGUUGAAUAUCUUAAGAAUUGAAUAAGAGGAAUAUUGUUGACAACAACCAUCAAGAAAAGGGAAAUUUUGCUCAAAAUCAAUGGAAAAGACAGGUAUCUCUAUUCACAUUAUAGCAUCAUGCCAAGCCUUGUGCUUAAGUUCUUUCAGAUAACUCAAAAUUUUUGCCACUAAUUGGAAAAUCUUUGACGAAAUUAACAGCACAUUUACCAAUAAAAAGAAUUUUCAAAAUUUAUAAGCAUAGUGGCAAGUAUUAACAACCUCCAUCAGUUGCAAUUAACAACUUUGUGGUCAACUUCAAAACCAAAAUCAGAGUUUCUUGGACCUUUUUUUUUUAAUAUAUUCAUAAUGACUUCCUAUUGCAAACUUGUAAUUUUUUAAGAAAAAAGUAUUAGUUGAUUUUUUUUCAUUGUUAUUCUUUU